Non-coding RNA from Paramuricea clavata, 252 nucleotides. Lineage: Eukaryota; Metazoa; Cnidaria; Anthozoa; Malacalcyonacea; Plexauridae. The record is from the annotation of a GenBank genome assembly.
GGGGGGGGGGAGAGCGCGGGGGAGGGAGCGCGCGACCCGAGCGACGAAGUCGCGAGUGGUCGACUUGUGUCCCUUGCAGGAAUUUAAAUCGCAUUUAAAAUUUUGGCGCGAAUAAUUUUGACAUAAAAGGGGUGUGUACAUUUCAUACAAUUUGUCAAUUACUUCACCGCGCCGACAAUGGGUCUACAAAAUUAACACAAAAACAUUCUCAAGAAUUGAUAUUUCUUUGUCGUCGAAUGAAACAGUUUGCAC